UCCUACCUUGUAAAGUUUAGCCAACAGCAAGUACUGAGUCCUUGGAGCCAAAGUGGUAACAUUAGGUUUAAGCGUAGGAUAGGGAACAUACGAGCCGUAAUGCGAAAGCUGUGAAACUGUUGUAGCCUCGUUAGAAAUAUAGAGUGGUAGCUGAUACUCUCACCUAAGUAGCAAGCAGCAAUAUUAAAUCGAAAUGGCAAGAUUUAAUAGGUACCACCGGUGUU
This 224-nucleotide non-coding RNA is filed under the name uncultured Anaeroplasma sp. The record is from RNAcentral. Lineage: Bacteria; Bacillati; Mycoplasmatota; Mollicutes; Anaeroplasmatales; Anaeroplasmataceae.